CGGGCUGUAGUGUAACGGUAGCACGAGUCCAUGGGGUGGAUUUAGUCCGAGUUCAAAUCUCGGCAGCCCGACAA
This 74-nucleotide transfer RNA is filed under the name Candidatus Yanofskybacteria bacterium RIFCSPHIGHO2_01_FULL_48_25b. RNAcentral's name for it is "tRNA-Pro". It matches the Rfam family "tRNA". From Rfam's summary of the family: Transfer RNA (tRNA) molecules are approximately 80 nucleotides in length. Their secondary structure includes four short double-helical elements and three loops (D, anti-codon, and T loops). The record is from RNAcentral. Lineage: Bacteria; Candidatus Yanofskyibacteriota.